Molecule: ribosomal RNA, 388 nt
Filed under: Ochromonas tuberculata
Lineage: Eukaryota; Chrysophyceae; Chromulinales; Chromulinaceae
Description: partial small subunit ribosomal RNA
Rfam family: Eukaryotic small subunit ribosomal RNA
Source: RNAcentral
GCUUGUCUCAAAGAUUAAGCCAUGCAUGUCUAAGUAUAAACAAAUUUAUAGUGAAACUGCGAAUGGCUCAUUAUAUCAGUUAUAGUUUAUUUGGCGAUAAAAACUACUUGGAUAACCGUAGUAAUUCUAGAGCUAAUACAUGCAUCAAGCCCCGACUUCUGGAAGGGGUGUAUUUAUUAGAUGGAAACCAAUGCGGGGCAACCCGGUAUAUGGUGAUUCAUAAUAACUUUCGGAUCGAUUUAUCGAUGCAUCAUUCAAGUUUCUGCCCUAUCAGCUUUGGAUGGUAGGGUAUUGGCCUACCAUGGCUUUAACGGGUAACGGAGAAUUAGGGUUCGAUUCCGGAGAGGGAGCCUGAGAAAUGGCUACCACAUCCAAGGAAGGCAGCAGG